CGUUAAUGGGUGAUGGCGUGCCUUUUGUAGAAUGAACCGGCGAGUUACGAUUGCAUGCGAGGUUAAGUUGAAGAGACGGAGCCGCAGCGAAAGCGAGUCUGAAUAGGGCGUUUGAGUAUGUAGUCGUAGACCCGAAACCAUGUGAUCUACCCAUGUCCAGGUUGAAGGUGCGGUAAAACGCACUGGAGGACCGAACCCACGUACGUUGAAAAGUGCGGGGAUGAGGUGUGGGUAGCGGAGAAAUUCCAAACGAACUUGGAGAUAGCUGGUUCUCUCCGAAAUAGCUUUAGGGCUAGCCUCGGAAUUGAGAAUGAUGGAGGUAGAGCACUGUUUGGACUAGGGGCCCAUCUCGGGUUACCGAAUUCAGAUAAACUCCGAAUGCCAUUCAUUCAUAUCCGGGAGUCAGACUGUGAGUGAUAAGAUCCAUAGUCGAAAGGGAAACAGCCCAGACCACCAGCUAAGGUCCCAAAAUAUAUGUUAAGUGGAAAAGGAUGUGGGGUUGCACAGACAACUAGG
This 516-nucleotide ribosomal RNA is filed under the name Enterococcus faecium. Its description in RNAcentral is "partial 23S ribosomal RNA". It matches the Rfam family "Bacterial large subunit ribosomal RNA", at positions 582 to 1097 of the family's 2925-position model. The record is from RNAcentral. Lineage: Bacteria; Bacillati; Bacillota; Bacilli; Lactobacillales; Enterococcaceae.